Molecule: non-coding RNA, 45 nt
Filed under: Schistosoma curassoni
Lineage: Eukaryota; Metazoa; Platyhelminthes; Trematoda; Strigeidida; Schistosomatidae
Source: RNAcentral
AUCCAUCUGACAAGUCCUAAAUAAGGUGAAACACAUGUCCUGGAU